This 337-nucleotide ribosomal RNA is filed under the name uncultured Veillonellaceae bacterium. Its description in RNAcentral is "partial 16S ribosomal RNA". The record is from RNAcentral. Lineage: Bacteria; Bacillati; Bacillota; Negativicutes; Veillonellales; Veillonellaceae.
GGAGUCUGGACCGUGUCUCAGUUCCAGUGUGGCCGAUCAGCCUCUCAGCUCGGCUACCCAUCGUCGCCUUGGUGGGCCGUCGCCCCGCCAACAAGCUAAUCGGACGCGGGCCCAUCGGAGAGCGGAUCGUUAGAUCCUUUGGUACCGAGGCCAUGCGGCCUCCGUACGUCAUCCGGUAUUAGCACCCCUUUCGGAGUGUUGUCCCCGGCCGGAGGGCAGGUUGCCUACGCGUUACUCACCCGUUCGCCACUAGGAUUCUGCCGAAACAAAAUCCCCGUUCGACUUGCAUGUGUUAGGCACGCCGCCAGCGUUCGUCCUGAGCCACUGAUCAAACUCU